Brienomyrus brachyistius is the source of this 973-nucleotide long non-coding RNA. RefSeq lists it as uncharacterized. Lineage: Eukaryota; Metazoa; Chordata; Actinopteri; Osteoglossiformes; Mormyridae. The record is from RefSeq and is a predicted model, not a curated record. The transcript is spliced from 3 exons.
CUCAUUACACACGUGUCACGCACAUAAGAACCGCGUGUAAUUUACUUGAUGAUGGGUGACAUUAUUACUUCCGUCAGUAAGGCGUAUAAAGGUCAGACAGAUGUAACACUGGCAAAGGACUCAAGCGCGGCGGAGGCUCACAGGCAGGGGGGCCGUUCACGCCAACUGCUGACAGCAGCUGUCACAAGGCCGUCCGGUGCUCCCCCAUCCACCGGAUAUUGGAUAACAGGCUUUGGCCGCUUCAGGGGCCAUGGUGCAGGAGCCAGAGGGAAAAUGACACGGUAUGAUGUGACGACGUGUCUGCACGGGCAUCUGACGCAGAGCCAGAAGGACCCGUCUGCCGCAGGACCAGCCCAGGCUGCGUAUUUUUGUUUUACAGGGUGGUUCAUGAAAAUGAACUUAUAAUCAUGAGAAAAGGGCUACCUGAAUGGGCAGGGAAUGCCUUAGACAGCAUACCUAAGGAACCAUGCAAAUCACUAACUACCUAUGAAACCAUGCUAAUUGCUAACUAGGAAACCAUGCUAAUCGCUAACUAACUAGGAAACCAUUCUAUUUGCUAACUACCUAGGAAACCAUGCUAAUUGCUAACUACCUUGGAUAGCAUGCUAAUCGCUAACUACCAGAACCCACAUGUUAGAAUACUACUAGCCUAUGAUAAGAAAAACAGAUUGUACUGUGACUGGGUUCAAAUGCUUAAAAAGUCAUUCUUGAGAUGAGCCUCUUACAGCAGAUGGAUUUUUGAAUAUUUUUUUUUUGAAUAAUGACGUCUCCACACGUUUAUUCAUGGAUAAAGUUGGACUUUUUAGGAAAAGAGCAGAAAUGCACCAAAUUGAAUGUAGACUAAGCUCUCAUUGCAAAGGAUGACUUUAAAUUAAGUUAAGGACUUAAAUUUAAUUUAAAUUUAAAUUUAGGAUUUUUUUAGGGUUGGUCAAUAGUUGUUUAUAAAGGCUGCAUAAAGGUAUCAAGACUUAGG